UCCACCCUGCAGACCGGGCCACAGAGGCAGCUUCUCCGGGGCCGCUUGGCUCUGAGGAGUGGGGUGACCAGAAGAUUCUGGGUCUACUGGAUUUUGAAAAAAGGCAGACAGCAGAGUGAGACGGAGACAGUCUGGAGAGCCAGCCAGCAGAACUCUGCACAGCUGUAUUCUCCACCUCCCACCUUGCGCCCUGCUGUCCCCGGGGUCGUGGACCAGCAGAGGGUGGGCAGGAGACCGCAUUCACAGUGUGGCUCCUCACUGUCAUCCCAGAGUCUCCCCUCACGAGCACCCCGGCUGCAGGGUGUAACCUGAGGCCCUAGCAGGGCCCAUGGAGCUUCUGCUGCUUUUCCCCGGGGGCCCUGAUGUGACAUUUCUCGUCCAGGAAGAGGAUGGAAGAUGAUAAAUUGAGCCACGCAGAGGAGAGGUAACUCCCUCCUGUCCUCAGAGUGUCCCGAAGACCCUCCUUUGCCUGGUGAGUGACAUACUAGAGCCCGCACGGUGACAGCUCAGGUAUGUGGCACCCCUCGGACCCACCCCUCCCUGGGUGGAGUGGCCCAGCUGUGGUGGGCACUUCCUCACCCAGCCGUGGGCACAGGCCAGACCCUGAGCCCAGCGGCCCUGUAAUUUCAGAUGUAGCUGGGCAUGUGUGUGUUAUUGGGUGAUACUUAAAUCCUAACCUUUUCAAAAGCAAACCCAAGUAAGCACAUAUUGGAGAACCAUAAUUCCAAGCUUGGAGGCCUCCCUCAAGGCGAUGGGGAGUGUGGCAUCGUGACCGCUAACCCGGUCCCUCCGCGGCCUUGGGUUUAAAAGCGUCUGUGUCCAGCCGGGAGGUGAACUCCUGACAGCAACGCCCGUCCAGCCCACACCUCUGCCUGGCAGUGUGCAGCAGGACCCCUGAAGCCCAAGUCGAGAGCAGCGCCUGGUCUCCACCCGAGACUGGGUGGCGGAGAAGCGCUGCCUCUGACCUCAGUGAGCAUGGAGAGGCGGUGACAGGUUUGGACAGUAGAGAUUUCAGCAAUUUCUGGAAGGUCUGAACAGGACCUGCCUCGGAAGCAGAAUCGGAUUCCGCUGACUGGGACAACGUCACGUGACAGCGAGUCCAGCGCCCGGGGCCUGGGAGAACAAAGGCGGCUGACCCGUCACAGGAGCUGCACGGCAAUGCAUCUGAGACCAUGCGGUGUCACCUUCACAGAAGUGCUCUGGCACAGAGACUCCAGCCUUGCCGGCCUCUCGCCUCCCAAGCACAGAAGCCUCCAGAACGCUGCUUCAAGGACAAGCCCAGGAGACCUGCCAUGCUCAUGCGUGUCUUUGGAAACAGGUUCUCUAAAUUUUGCUUGUGGUUUGUUAAAAAAAAAAAAAAAAUCAGAAGUGUAAUCAAAGACUUCAACAAACGAAGCACCAAAACACUUCAGCUUUGAAAUGUAGAAUUGCAAUGACUGGAAACACGGCUCGCAAAGCAAAAGACAUUAAAAUUCAGUCAUCCCUACAGAAGCCGGACAGGAAUUGAUCACAUCCACUAGUGAAGGCUCAGAAAGUGACAAGAUUUCAUUUGGAAAUCGUACCUGUGUCCUUGGGAACAUCCUGAACCUUGGGAAGCAUCAGCUCAUGGAGUUCCUAUUAACUGGAUAAAUUUAUAUUCUAGAUUGAAAUGGAAUGGAAUUAAGUAGGCCCACGGUUUUGCAGCACGUACAUUUGAAGAAUCAUUAAAAAUCAUCAUAGAAACAAUUUAUUUGACGAGAUUUGUCUUGUACAAAUAUUUGUUAAAUAUUUGUACUCCGAACGGAGGCCAAAAGACAGCACCUGUGGGAAACUUUAGGCUGAAAUAUUUACACAUUUCAACGCAAAAUGUCAGAACUGAGAAUCUGCCGUGUGCUCACAAGGUACCCCAACCCUGCAGAGAGAGACAAUUUUCUUGAUCCAAAUGUCAUCAUCUACCCAGAAGUGUCCAUGGACAGCACAGAUUCACAUUCUGGGGCCGUUAAAAUGUGAAUGUGAGCUAUCAAUGGACACUUCUGGGUAGAUCAUGACCUUUGGAUUAAUUAAGAUUGAUCCAGGCCCGGCGCAGUGGCUCAUGCCUGUAAUCCCAACACUUUGGGAGGCCGAGGUGGGCAUAUCACUAGAGGUCGGGAGUUCGAGUCCAGCCUGGCCAAUUUGGUAAAAACUGUCUCUACUGAAAAUACAAAAAUUAGCUGGGCACGGUGGCAGGUGCCUUUAAUCCCAGCUGCUUGGGAGGCUGAGGCAUGAGAAUCGCUUGAACCCAGGAGGAAGAGGUUGCCGUGAGCCAAGAUUGCGCCACUGCACUCUAGCCUGGGUGACAGAGUGAGACUCCAUCUCAAAACAAACAAACAAACAAACAACCCAAAAAAUUAGC
Molecule: long non-coding RNA, 2371 nt
Filed under: Homo sapiens (human)
Lineage: Eukaryota; Metazoa; Chordata; Mammalia; Primates; Hominidae
Description: HSALNT0278821
Source: RNAcentral